This 262-nucleotide long non-coding RNA is filed under the name Citrus maxima (pomelo). Its description in RNAcentral is "long non-coding RNA (CMAX_LNC002374)". The record is from RNAcentral. Lineage: Eukaryota; Viridiplantae; Streptophyta; Magnoliopsida; Sapindales; Rutaceae.
AGAUACUUACAACAAGUUAUGGCAUAAAUAAAUUGAUGAUGAGAGUAUUGCAAAAAAUAAAAAAUAAAAAAUAAAAAAAUAAUACUCUGUUUUUCAUCGGAGGAGUUGCCUUGUCCACUAAUAGGAGGCUCACCUCAUGCCUGGAAUCUUUGAUACUAGACUUUUCGUGGACAAAUUCUCUCCAAGAGUUAUUAGUUUCAAGAAAAUCUGUUCUCCUUUAUACCAAGUUUUGAUGCAAAAGGAUUUUGUAAAAUGUUUUGGG